AUUGGACGCUGGCGGCAGGCUUAACACAUGCAAGUCGAGCGGGGAAAGGUAGCUUGCUACCUGACCUAGCGGCGGACGGGUGAGUAAUGCUUAGGAAUCUGCCUAUUAGUGGGGGACAACAUCUCGAAAGGGAUGCUAAUACCGCAUACGUCCUACGGGAGAAAGCAGGGGGCCUUCGGGCCUUGCGCUAAUAGAUGAGCCUAAGUCGGAUUAGCUAGUUGGUGGGGUAAAGGCCUACCAAGGCGACGAUCUGUAGCGGGUCUGAGAGGAUGAUCCGCCACACUGGGACUGAGACACGGCCCAGACUCCUACGGGAGGCAGCAGUGGGGAAUAUUGGACAAUGGGGGGAACCCUGAUCCAGCCAUGCCGCGUGUGUGAAGAAGGCCUUUUGGUUGUAAAGCACUUUAAGCGAGGAGGAGGCUACCGAGAUUAAUACUCUUGGAUAGUGGACGUUACUCGCAGAAUAAGCACCGGCUAACUCUGUG
RNAcentral lists this ribosomal RNA (485 nucleotides) under uncultured bacterium. RNAcentral's name for it is "partial 16S ribosomal RNA". It matches the Rfam family "Bacterial small subunit ribosomal RNA", at positions 30 to 507 of the family's 1533-position model. The record is from RNAcentral.